UUGAACGCUGGCGGCAGGCCUAACACAUGCAAGUCGAACGGGUAACAGGAAGCAGCUUGCUGCUUCGCUGACGAGUGGCGGACGGGUGAGUAAUGUCUGGGAAGCUGCCUGAUGGAGGGGGAUAACUACUGGAAACGGUAGCUAAUACCGCAUAAUGUCGCAAGACCAAAGAGGGGGACCUUCGGGCCUCUUGCCAUCGGAUGUGCCCAGAUGGGAUUAGCUUGUUGGUGGGGUAACGGCUCACCAAGGCGACGAUCCCUAGCUGGUCUGAGAGGAUGACCAGCCACACUGGAACUGAGACACGGUCCAGACUCCUACGGGAGGCAGCAGUGGGGAAUAUUGCACAAUGGGCGCAAGCCUGAUGCAGCCAUGCCGCGUGUAUGAAGAAGGCCUUCGGGUUGUAAAGUACUUUCAGCGGGGAGGAAGGGAGUAAAGUUAAUACCUUUGCUCAUUGACGUUACCCGCAGAAGAAGCACCGGCUAACUCCGUG
Molecule: ribosomal RNA, 490 nt
Filed under: uncultured bacterium
Lineage: Bacteria
Description: bacterial SSU rRNA
Rfam family: Bacterial small subunit ribosomal RNA
Source: RNAcentral